AUGAAUCAUUUGCGAAUGGGCAUCGGUCAUUUCCCAGAGAAAAGUAGACGCCCAGCAAACACAGAACGUUGUGAGGACGUCGCCAGUUCGUCGUCAUUUGGUCAGCGCGACAUUACUUUAUGGCAACGUUGUGAGGACGUCGAGGUCCUGACUGCCACCAGUUGAGUCAAUGAUUCAGUGGAGAGACAGUCUGGACAGCAUUAACAAGACAACUAUUACAAAUAGAGACGGGUUUCAAAAACUGACACAACCACAUAUCAUCCAAAUCAUCUCCAAGUGGAUGGCAGCACGGAUCCAGGAUCAAGAGAUCAUUCUUCAUGAAGACUGUUCCAUAGGAAGCAGUGAAUCCUGGGUGAAAAACUAAACCUAGUUGUUUCAGCAUCACUCAGGCAAGACUAAAUACAUUUAAAUUGAUUUCAGUUUGUUAUAUGUUUCAGGUCAUCCUGACCAUUCUGCUGUCCUGGACGUGAGGAUAUGCUGAAACUGCGUAUCCAGAUAUACAAACAGCCUUCCUGGACCCACACGACUAAAGGCUCCGGAGGAGAGACAG
This is a long non-coding RNA of Cyprinus carpio carpio, 550 nucleotides long. Lineage: Eukaryota; Metazoa; Chordata; Actinopteri; Cypriniformes; Cyprinidae. The record is from Ensembl.